Molecule: microRNA precursor, 61 nt
Filed under: Aedes aegypti (yellow fever mosquito)
Lineage: Eukaryota; Metazoa; Arthropoda; Insecta; Diptera; Culicidae
Description: microRNA aae-mir-11902 precursor
Source: miRBase by way of RNAcentral
AGGGCGUGACGCCAUCUACAAGGAGUAUCUGUUCAAGAACUUCAACGAAGCGUUCGGCUUC